This 446-nucleotide ribosomal RNA is filed under the name uncultured bacterium. RNAcentral describes it as "partial 16S ribosomal RNA". It matches the Rfam family "Bacterial small subunit ribosomal RNA", at positions 338 to 795 of the family's 1533-position model. The record is from RNAcentral.
CCUACGGGAGGCAGCAGUCGAGAAUCAUUCACAAUGGGGGAAACCCUGAUGGUGCGACGCCGCGUGGGGGAAUGAAGGUCUUCGGAUUGUAAACCCCUGUCAUGUGGGAGCAAAUUAAAAAGAUAGUACCACAAGAGGAAGAGACGGCUAACUCUGUGCCAGCAGCCGCGGUAAUACAGAGGUCUCAAGCGUUGUUCGGAAUCACUGGGCGUAAAGCGUGCGUAGGCUGUUUCGUAAGUCGUGUGUGAAAGGCGCGGACUCAACCCGCGGACGGCACAUGAUACUGCGAGACUAGAGUAAUGGAGGGGGAACCGGAAUUCUCGGUGUAGCAGUGAAAUGCGUAGAUAUCGAGAGGAACACUCGUGGCGAAGGCGGGUUCCUGGACAUUAACUGACGCUGAGGCACGAAGGCCAGGGGAGCGAAAGGGAUUAGAUACCCCUGUAGUC